UGUAGCGACCGACCCCUAACCUUUCCCAGUUAGGUUUGAUCUCAGCCCUUAACCUCAGUCAGUUGUUCUGUUGACCGCACCUAAGUGCUCAGUCUUCCGCCAGUUCCGACCCCUGAGAUCCGACCCCUACUGCUUCGUUCCUUUCCCGACCCUGGCGAGUUCAGCCCUCCGUCGGAUCCUGCUGAUCUUCCUCACCCGUCCGAUCUUU
This 208-nucleotide long non-coding RNA is filed under the name Setaria viridis. RNAcentral's name for it is "long non-coding RNA (SVIR_LNC009288)". Lineage: Eukaryota; Viridiplantae; Streptophyta; Magnoliopsida; Poales; Poaceae. The record is from RNAcentral.